UGAAGAAAUUUAAAGAUGGAAGAGAAAGUGUUAAAGAUGAUGUACGAUCUGGAAGACCAAAAACGCCUCAAAGAAAGUUUAAUAAUAAAGUAUGGAUGACGAAACAUGGAAAGCGUCCAGUUAUUGCUAAA
Saccostrea echinata is the source of this 131-nucleotide long non-coding RNA. RefSeq lists it as uncharacterized. NCBI's taxonomy places the organism in Eukaryota, Metazoa, Mollusca, Bivalvia, Ostreida, Ostreidae. The transcript has 2 exons. The record is from RefSeq and is a predicted model, not a curated record.